This 27-nucleotide non-coding RNA is filed under the name Rattus norvegicus (Norway rat). The record is from RNAcentral. Lineage: Eukaryota; Metazoa; Chordata; Mammalia; Rodentia; Muridae.
UGGAAAACAGAAACUUAGGCCUAGUCU